GAUGAACGCUGGCGGCGUGCCUAAUACAUGCAAGUCGAGCGAACAGACGAGGAGCUUGCUCCUCUGACGUUAGCGGCGGACGGGUGAGUAACACGUGGAUAACCUACCUAUAAGACUGGGAUAACUUCGGGAAACCGGAGCUAAUACCGGAUAAUAUAUUGAACCGCAUGGUUCAAUAGUGAAAGACGGUUUUGCUGUCACUUAUAGAUGGAUCCGCGCUGCAUUAGCUAGUUGGUAAGGUAACGGCUUACCAAGGCAACGAUGCGUAGCCGACCUGAGAGGGUGAUCGGCCACACUGGGACUGAGACACGGUCCAGACUCCUACGGGAGGCAGCAGUAGGGAAUCGUGCGCGAUGGGCGAAAGCCUGACGGAGCAACGCCGCGUGAGGGAUGAAGGUCUUCGGAUCGUAAAACUCUGUUAUUAGGGAAGAACAAAUGUGUAAGUAACUAUGCACGUCUUGACGGUACCUAAUCAGAAAGCCACGGCUAACUACGUG
This 497-nucleotide ribosomal RNA is filed under the name uncultured bacterium. Its description in RNAcentral is "partial 16S ribosomal RNA". It matches the Rfam family "Bacterial small subunit ribosomal RNA", at positions 28 to 507 of the family's 1533-position model. The record is from RNAcentral.